Molecule: RNA transcript, 3295 nt
Organism: Panicum hallii
Lineage: Eukaryota; Viridiplantae; Streptophyta; Magnoliopsida; Poales; Poaceae
Exons: 4
Source: RefSeq, a predicted model, not a curated record
AUUUCAGACUUCCGAUGGCUAACCACUUCAAACUGUCCAAAUAUUUUCCAUCAGGUGUUUGUCCGUCCACUUCCUUCAGGUUGUCUGCACCUCUCCAUUGAUAGCAUUUCUUGAGACCUUUAUCCAGUGCUAUUUACCAAUUACAGCUAGCUUUUUGGUUCUGAUUUACUUGUCUAAAGCCUGAGCACUUGCCAUAGUAUCAUAGGUAAGACACUGGCCACCCAAAGCCAUAGUAUCCUGUUCAUAUUCUGUGCAGACCUUGCAAAGAAAUCCUCAGCUUCUCAUAUAAUUUAAAUAAGUAUUUUGUGAAGUCCUAACAAAAUUAUCAUAAUGUGAAAGUAUUAGCAGACAAGUAGAUAUCUUAGUAUAUUUUUUAUUAUCAUUACCGUAAAUUUAUUCACGCUUGAUGGACAAUAUUUCAGUUAAUGUGUUUACCAAAGAGAAUCAAUUUAUUGGCUGUUGAUCUAUGCUAUGCACUUGUUCUUCCUGUGUCAUUUAUUAUUUCAACAAUGUUUUACUUGGCUGGUGAUAUAUGAUUUGCAGCCUCUCUUUUUUUUUCUUUUUGCUUGUGGAUGUUGGAUAUAGGCAUGUACAUAGAUGGACAAUAAUCAGCAUGAAUUCCUUUAUUACUGUAUGUGGAGGCAAAAGGCCCUAGCUGUUCUUGUUCUACUGUUGGUCUUCUGGUGGAGGAACCAAAAUGACAAGAGGACUAGAGCCAAACGUGUAAAGUAUGCUCCUCUUAUGCAGAGGGAUAUCUGGCGUAGUAGUGAACUAAUUAGGUUGGUUGACACCUCCGACGGAAUAUGUAUGCGCGAGCUGAGGAUUGCCCGGUCUGUGUUCUACAAGCUUUGUUCUGGGCUUAGGGACAGGGGGCUAUUACUUGAUACAUUUCAUGUUUCAGUGGAGGAGCAAGUGGCUAUGUUUUUGAAGAUUGUUGGGCAAUGUCACACACACUCCUCUGUAGCCAUUGCACAGUGGAGAUCUGGAUGGACAGUUAGUAGAUAUUUUAACGUCGUCUUACGUGCCCUUGUGAAGUUGGCUCCUGAACUAAUUUAUAUUAGAUCAACUUCCACACAUCCUAAGAUCACCAACAGCCCAAACGGAUUUUAUCCAUAUUUUGAGGGAUGUAUAGGGGCACUUGAUGGCACUCACAUCAGGGCAUGUGCACCUGCUAAAUUUGUGGAUAGGUUUAGGGGGCGCAAGUCGUACCCCACACAAAAUGUCUUAGCGGUUGUCGACUUUGAUCUGCAUUUCACUUUUGUCCUAGCUGGGUGGGAGGGGUCUGCUCAUGAUUCUCAUUUGCAUGAUGCCCUGACUCGUCCAAAUGGGCUCAAAAUCCCAGAAGGGAAAUUCUAUUUGGCUGAUGCUGGAUAUGCCACUAGGCCAGGCAUAGUGCCACCCUAUCGCGGUGUUCGCUAUCACCUAAAAGAGUUUCACGGAGCCCAUGACCCAAAAUGUCCAAAAGAGCUUUUCAAUCAUCGCCAUUCCCAACUUAGGACAACAGUUGAGCGGGCAUUUGGCGCUCUCAAGAAUCGCUUCAAAAUUCUUAGUAAUAAGCCAUUCAUACCCCUGAAGUCACAGCCAAAGGUGGUCAUUGCCUGUUGUGCCCUUCAUAAUUGGAUACUGGAUGAUGGAGCUGAUGAGUUCAUAUAUGAUGAGCCAACUUGGUAUGGCCAUCUACCUAGGAGUAGAAAUCGUGUCACCGAUCGAGAGGCUGAUGUACGUGAGUGGGCUACCAAGCGUGAUUCAAUUGCCCAGCAGAUGUGGAAUGAUAGACUUAACAAUAAUGUUACCGUUGAAAAUUAGUGUGUAUUAGCUGCAGCUGCCAUCUUUUGGGUUAGUUUGGACAGUUAAUAUCGUUUCUGUUUGUGUACUUUGGUGGCUGUGUAGCCAUUUGGUCUGCAUACAAUAGCACUGAACUUGUGCUUUGCAAUUUAAUAAUAUGUUUGCUUAGUGGUGUAACUUUCUUCUGUUCAACCACAACAUCGUUUGUUAUAUACUUAAUAUGGUUUGAAACUUAUUGUGAACUUUCAUUUAUAGCAUGGUUAAGAAAAACAAAGUUGGAAGUGCUGAUGUUGUAUAUCGUGAGAAGUACAAAACAUGGACUGAUGACAGCACUGAGUUUAUGCUUCAGUGGUAUGUUGACUACCAAAAGGACAAACCUGCUACCUUUAGGUGGAAGCAACACCACCAUCAUCUGUGUGUAGAAGCUUUGAAUGCCAGAUUUGGAAUAGGAGCUACCAGACAUCAAGCUUAUCGUCAGUUCAGGGCAUUAAAGGAGAAGUGGAACUGGAUAAGCCAAGCUUUGGCCAAGAGUGGCAAUGGUUUUGAUGCAGCGUCUCGCAAGUUCAAUCUACCAUAUUCAGAGAAACCACCUUCCAAGCUUGGGACUUUGAAAUACAACUAUCUUACUCGACCUAUCAAAUUCUUCCAGCUCAUGGAAGAGCUAUUUGGAGAAUCUGGCCAAGCUAAUGGAUCCUUAGCUAUUGACCAAUACACUUCAGAUGCAGAAGAUGAUAGAUCUGAAACAGAGACUGAUGAUUCAUUUACUGUUGAGCAUGGUGAGAAUAAUUCUGACACUAUUGCUCGUAGCAAUUCACCUGAUCUAGCCUUCAGUUCUAGUCUCAAGCACAAAAACAUGAAAUCGCCUAUGAAGAAGCUUCGAAAGCACAAAGAAAAACGUGCCAACGCACUAGAGAAUGAUAAAAUUGCAUCAAGUAUUGUCAUGCUGGCCAAUUCUGUUGCAUCCACUGCCCCUGCACCUGCUGAUCCUUAUGCUAAUCUUUGGAAGCGUAUUGAGGAUAUACCUUUCCCACCACGGGAUAAGGUUGAUAUUGCAACCUUUCUUUCCAAGCCGGAGCAGAUGUACUUGCGCAACUACUUGAAUGCUGCAUCUGAUCAGUCAUUUGGAUCCUGGGUAACUGAUUACUUAGGUGCCUAGUAUGGUGCUAGUGGUGGGUAUGCAUGUGAAUAUGGUAGCUCUGAGUGAAUAUGGAUGCUGCAGCUUUUGGUAUUUUGGACGUGCUGUAGGUGGACAUCAUAUCGAUGCACUUGCUUGUGCUAUUUUGGAAGUGUUGUCGGUUGACAGGAGCAUGUUUCUGUAACUUGUGCGACGUAGAACUACUGUAGGUGGUCAAGAAAGAUGUACUCCUCCAGCAUAAUAUUAUUUUGUGCUAAUCAAGGUGGCUGGACUUCAUGAACUCAUUUGUAUAAUAUGUAAAUAUAUCAUCAGUAGGCCCGAACAGUUAUGUAAAUGACAUGUUCUAAUAUUAUAUGAUAGCAUGAAUCAUGGACA